AUGGCGCCGCGCCAUCAUCGUAAUUCCUAUUUCGCCGAUUCUGGCAUUCUCUGCGUUAGUUGCAGCAUAGACGUGCUUGUAGAAGCUUCAGACUGCCAUCGUUGUAACUUCCCACCUCACCGGUUCCGGCACCGGCGUCGACCGGUUUCCAGCCAAAUCAGAUGCUGGUUGCAGCAUCACGCCAGGCCGGUUCGAGCACCGCCGCCGGCCGGUUCCACCAAAUCUGCUGCUGGUUGUAGCAAGCCGCCAACCGGUUCCAGCAAAUCCCCUGCUAGUUGCAGCAAGCCGCCGACCAGUUACAACACCGCCGGCGGCCGGUUUGAAUUCUCCCGCUGCCCGGUUGUGACACUGCUUGUGGUAACGCCUACGCCCCCUGAGGCCCUCCGACCUCCUCCUCCUCCUCCUGAACCUAAUGGCUCUCCCCUCUUCCUCCUCUCCCCAUCCCCCUCGCGGCGGCCUCGGUGGCUGGCGAAGCUCCGGCGGCGCCCUGGCCUAGUGGUCCCCCCUCCUCCCCAUCCCCUCCUCGCUCCCCUCUGGGCUCCGCUCCGGCUCAUGGCGCAGCCCUCCCCUGCCCUCUGGCCUCGACUCCUCGCCCUGUCCUCUUCGCCCAUCUUCGGGCUAACAAGUUUUGGGCUCUUGAUUCUGACGGAUCUGGCUCGGAUUCUGAGGCGCCCUCUCCCCCACCUUGCUCGACCCCGGUGUGCUCUCCCCCUGUGGCUGCGGCGGGUGCUCGCUGACGCAAGUUCGCGCCCGGUGGGCGGGGGCGGCCUGUCCGGUCUGCCGUGGAGUCGGAUGGCUGGCGCCGCUCCGCCUCGCCCUCUCCGGUGGCAUCGCGUGCGGGCGCGCCCGAGCCCGUCCUCCGCCUCCUUGGCGGCGCCGGAGUCGGCCCCAACCCUAGAUCUGGGUUUGGGGGCGGCGUUGGUGCCCCCUCCUGUGGCGCGGGCCCCGGUGGGCCUUGCUGGGCCUGGUGGGCCGGCUUCGCCCUUGGCCUUGGCUUCUCUUUCUGAAUUCCCCCCUCCCUUCUGUGGACCCUGGGCUGCGGACGGCCCAGGUGCGGCUCCCCCAUUCCUAGGGUUUCCAACCUCCUCUUCUGAUCUGCGCCGCUUUCGCUUCCCAAUCCGUCGCUUCAUCAGAUCUGCUCCUCCUCCUCCCCUCUCCCUCCCCUUUGCUGUGGUGGUGGCGAUGGAUCGAUCCCGCGCGUCCUCAAGUGAGGCGGUCUCCGGGCAGAAGCGGGGCCGUGGUGGAUCUGGCGACGCAGAUCUGGAAUAUGAGGCGGCUCUUCGCGCGAAGCUUCAGGCCUCGAUCGCUCCAGAGGCGGGGUCGGCGACGGUGUCCGUUGGCUCUCCCCGUGCUUCUGGGUCGGGCCUUUCGGCUCCUCCCCCCUGCUUCUGCUGGGAGGGUUCGUCGGGGCCCGCCCUGGCGCCCUCUUCGCUGGGUGCCGCUCCCCGGGGCGGCGCCCCGGUGCGUUCUCAGGUGGGGGGUGGGUCGUCCCGUUUCUUCCCCAGAGGCACGUCGGGGGCCCCGGUUCGGCGUCCUGCUGGCCCCGUGGUGGGGCGGGGCUCCGGCUCUGGGCCUGCUGCGGGUGGGGAUGGUAUCCUCCCUCCUUCUCCUCGCGGUCACAUCCCUCUCCAAUCUCAGGUCUCCAACCCCAUCCUCACCUGUUUUGCAUGUCAUCGCCCUGUCCACUUCCAAUCUCGGUGUGAAAAUCCUCCCUUCUGCCUCAUCUGCCGGGAAGAUGGCCACCUUACGGUGGACUGUAGAAUCAUGGAGAUCCCUGAGGCCGCCCCCAUCCCUUCGCUGUCCAAUGUUGGUAUUAUCUCUGUUCAGGAUAAACACAUCUUCCCUCAGAUUCUUCUGGACGAGCUCAAGGUCUGGUACGAGGGUGGAUGGGAUUGGCAGAUCUGCCAGCUCUCCGAGUUCGAGUUUGCAGCGACCUUCCCCUCUAAAGAGAGUCUCCGGAUGAUAUCUUCUUGCUCUAGCUUCACUCUCCCCUUGAAUCAACUCACGGUCUCGGUUAAAGCUGCCUCUAAUGGAUCCAAGUCUAUAUCCUCCUUGUCUGAUGUUUGGGUGCUGGUAGAAGAUGUUCCUCCGUCCAUGCGCACCUCGGCGUUCCUGAUGGCUUUCGGAGUUCUUAUUGGCAAGCCCAUUGAGGUUGACCAAGAUUCUCUGGCGAUCUUGGGGCCGGCCCGGCUCCGAAUUUGGUGUGUUGACCCCCUGUGCAUUCACGGCUCCCUUGAUGUCUUCCCGUCGGUGGGUGGCUCCCGCCUUCGUGUGCAGGUGGAGGGGGCCUCAGGCCUGGCGUCGCCCCCUCCUCCUCCAUCGCCUCCAGCCUUUGACAAUGGAGACAAGAGCAAGGAGCGGGGUGGCUGCCCCGAGGAUUCCUUGCAUGGGUCCGAUCCCCGGUUCACCCAGUCGGAGUGGGAUGGCCUCUCACCCGAAGAUCAGGACAUGCUCAAGGAGAGCGCGCCGGCUGGCAAGAGGGUCCAGGGCUCGGCGCAGGUUUUGUGUGGAGGAGAGGCGGCUGCUGGCGGGACCAUGGGCACGCCUUUCUCUGCGGUGUGCUCCAACCUCCCCGCCCGCCCCGCGUCUCCCUCCCUGUCAGGCAUUGAAGACCUCCCCUCGUCGGGUUCUGCGGCGAUCCAAAAGAAGAAGAAAUCGUCUGUUAAGAAGUUCUCUGCCAAGAGCCGCGCCUCUGGUGACUCCAGGCAAUCUGCGGCUGGGCUGUGCCGCCGGCUGGAGGCUGACUUGGGUCUGGCCUCGGGUCCGUCUUCCGCUGCGGCCUCUCCCAGUCGCGCGCGUCCUGUCCCUGUUUAUUCUCCGGCGUCCACGGCUCGUAAGAGUGGCCGUGUCUCCAACAGUGGCGAGCGGGUGGUCGAUCGGGCUGCUCGUCAUGCGGCGGCUCGGGUUCUGCCUCCUGCAGAUUCUAGUUUGGGUUCUCCUUCAUCCUUUCUUGGUAUCAUUAGGGCAAUGAAAUCGCUCAGGCAGACAUUGCGAGAGCCAAGGAGGCUAGGGAGGGUUUGGGUGCCCCACUGGUGGUGGCUGGUGGGGACGGGGGGGGGGGAUGAUAGGAGUCAUGCUCCCCCGAGGGUGUCUAAACGUGGGGCAGGGAAACGAUCAAAAUCCUGCGUCGCCCCGAGCAGAGGUUUCUGUGCUAGGGGGCGCAGAGACCAACUUAAGGACCUACUUCGAUCUGAGAAUGUGGAUUUUAUUGGCCUUGUCGAGACUUUCAAAUCUUCCUUUUCUGCUAGUGAAUUAUCGGCUAUUGCUGGGAUAGAUAGAUUUCAUUGGAAUUUUGUGGCCUCGGCUGGUCACUCGGAAGGGUUUCUGCUUGGAUGCAAGAAAGAUACUUUUGAUUUUGUGGCUUUCGAUCAUGGCAUUUUCUGGGCUAGCAUGGUGGUCUCCAUUCGCUCCCUCAACUCCUUAGUAGAAAUAUUAGUGAUUUAUGGUCCGGUGGAUCAUGCUAUGUCUUAUGCCUUUUUAGAUGAGCUUUCUAUUAAGAUUGAAUCUUGCCAGUUUCCGCUGUUGAUUGGGGGUGAUUUUAAUUUGCUUCGUGUCCCCUCCGACAAGAGCUCUCCUAACUUCUCGUGGCCCCUUGCUGAUGCGUUCAAUGGCUUCAUUAGGGAUAUGGCUAUUCGUGAGGUACCUAGGGUCGGAGCCCGGACUUCUGACCCACCGGUCAUUAUGCAGCAUGUGGUCUCCUUCUUCGCUAACCUUCUUGCGGCUAAACCCGUGCUUGGCUUCAAGCUGGCUGCGAACUUCUGGGCCCCCCCUAUGCUCGCUUCCGCUUCUGGUGGCUCUCAAUUCUGGCGCCAGCUAGUUAGCAUCAGACCGGCUUUUCAGUCCCUUGUCAAGUUUGUUGUUCGUAAUGGUAAGUCCACGCGUUUUUGGUUAGACUGGUGGGUUGGUGACACCAUGCUGGCGAUGGCCUACCCGACUCUGUUCUCGUUUUGUGCGGACCCUGAGAUCUCUAUCUUUGAGCUCUCGGCUCACGGUUGGGUUCUUGAUUUCCGGCGCUCUCUUUCCCCAGUAGAGUUGGAAGAUUGGCAUCGUCUUAUUGCCUGCUUCCCCCUGCUCUCGGAGGAAGAGGACUCCGUGGUUUGGCCCCAUGCCUCUUCGGGGCGUUUUUCGGUUAAGUCGGCUUAUUUGAAACUUAUCGCUGGGUCCCGCAUGGAUAAGUUUAAGUCCAUUUGGUUUGCCCGCAUCCCUCCCAAGAUCAAGAUCUUCCUAUGGCAAGCUUACCGUCGCAAACUUCCUGCGGCUGACCAGAUUAAGAAGAGGAAUGGUCCGGGCUCGGAAUACUGUCAACUUUGCGGUGCCCUUGAGAACACUGAGCAUAUCUUUUUCCACGGUUCCUUGGCUAAAUUCACAUGGAGUUGUAUUAGAUGUUGGCUUGGGGUUAAUUGGUACCCAUCCUCCUUUGGUGAUUUGAGGCAGUGCAUCAACUCCCUAAAUGAAUUCUACGGCGUCUACCCUGCUGCAGCUCUCUAG
RNAcentral lists this ribosomal RNA (4488 nucleotides) under Triticum aestivum (bread wheat). Its description in RNAcentral is "partial small subunit ribosomal RNA". Lineage: Eukaryota; Viridiplantae; Streptophyta; Magnoliopsida; Poales; Poaceae. The record is from RNAcentral.